GACAAGAUGGCCGAGUGGUUAAGGCGUACCGUUCAAGCUGUCACAUGAACACUUGGAAAUUCUCUGACUUUCCUGAUCCGGUAUGGGGAAACCCGCGUGAGUUCGAGUCUCGCUCUUGUCA
This is a transfer RNA of 121 nucleotides. It matches the Rfam family "tRNA". Rfam says of the family: Transfer RNA (tRNA) molecules are approximately 80 nucleotides in length. Their secondary structure includes four short double-helical elements and three loops (D, anti-codon, and T loops).